RNAcentral lists this ribosomal RNA (527 nucleotides) under Hemifusus colosseus. RNAcentral's name for it is "partial 16S ribosomal RNA". It matches the Rfam family "Bacterial large subunit ribosomal RNA", at positions 1817 to 2598 of the family's 2925-position model. The record is from RNAcentral. Lineage: Eukaryota; Metazoa; Mollusca; Gastropoda; Neogastropoda; Melongenidae.
GGCUCCUUGUAAAGAAAAUAAAUAAGGAGUCGGACCUGCCCAGUGAAGUUUUUUAACGGCCGCGGUACUCUGACCGUGCAAAGGUAGCACAAUCAUUUGCCUUAUAAUUGAAGGCUAGUAUGAAUGGUUUGACAAGAAUAUAGCUGUCUCUUUAUGGCUAUUUAGAAUUUUAUUUAUAGGUGAAGAAGCCUAUAUUUCAUUAAUAGACGAGAAGACCCUAUCGAGCUUCAAAUAAAUUAAUAGAUAUAAAUCAAUUAAAUAAUAACUAAAAUAAAAACUAUUAAAUAUUCUUAGUUAGUUGGGGCGACUGAGGAACAAUAAAAGCUUCCUUUAAGCAUUUUAAUAAACUAUACUAGUUUUAAUCCAAAAACUUUUUGAUCAAAGAAAUUAGCUACCGUAGGGAUAACAGCAUAAUCCCUUUUGAGAGUUCCUAUCGAAAAGGGGGUUUGUGACCUCGAUGUUGGACUAGAAUAUCCCAAAGAUGCAGCAGUCUUUAAAGGUUGGUCUGUUCGACCAUUAAAAUUCUA